CUCAUCACUGUUGUUACUGUUCUUCUCUUCAGAGCUCGAGCAGGGAACCAGAGACCACCUGAUGACCUCACUGUUUCUUACUCAGUAAGAAGCAGAACAG
This is a long non-coding RNA of Scomber japonicus (chub mackerel), 100 nucleotides long. RefSeq lists it as uncharacterized. The transcript is spliced from 3 exons. The record is from RefSeq and is a predicted model, not a curated record. Lineage: Eukaryota; Metazoa; Chordata; Actinopteri; Scombriformes; Scombridae.